This 375-nucleotide ribosomal RNA is filed under the name uncultured organism. Its description in RNAcentral is "partial 16S ribosomal RNA". It matches the Rfam family "Bacterial small subunit ribosomal RNA", at positions 527 to 896 of the family's 1533-position model. The record is from RNAcentral.
GGAGGGUGCAAGCAUUAAUCGGGAUUUAUUGGGGCGUAUAGGGGGGCGUAGGCGGCUAGGUAAGUCAGAUGUGAAAUUCCGUGGGCUCAACCACGGAGCUGCAUCUGAAACUACUUAGCUAGAGGAUAGGCGGAGAAAACGGAAUUCCACGUGUAGCGGUGAAAUGCGUAGAUAUGUGGAAGAACACCGGUGGCGAAAGCAGUUUUCUAGCUUAUUCCUGACGCUCAGGCCCGAAAGCAAGGGGAGCAAACAGGAUUAGAUACCCUGGUAGUCCUUGCCGUAAACUAUGCAUACUAGAUGUAGCUGGUCUCAACCCCGGUUGUGUCGAAGCUAACGCGUUAAGUAUGCCGCCUGGGGAGUACACUCGCAAGGGUG